This is a long non-coding RNA of Lolium rigidum, 1780 nucleotides long. RefSeq lists it as uncharacterized. The transcript has 6 exons. The record is from RefSeq and is a predicted model, not a curated record. NCBI's taxonomy places the organism in Eukaryota, Viridiplantae, Streptophyta, Magnoliopsida, Poales, Poaceae.
AAGCAAGCGCAGAGGGGAGGCCAUGCUGCGGUCGUCGAUGACUUUGAGGCGGCCUUCGAGCGGUUCGACGAGGACUCGGAGGAGGAGGAGCUCGAGCGCCCGGCGUGUGCGGGCAGGCGGCCCCGAGGCGCCGCCGGAAGCGGCGCAGUACAGGGUUCUGCGACCCCGGCCAUGGGGCAAGUGGGCGGCCGAGAUCCGCGACCCUGUCAAGGGAGUCCGGGUCUGGCUCGGCACAUUCCCCUCCGCUGAGGAUGCCGCACAUCGUGAUCACCACUUUCCCUCCGUUUGACCUUCAGCGUAUUGGCGGGGGGCUGGCGCGGCGGCGUCCGGUGGGGUGGGUCGGCGGCGAGAUAAUCUGGGGCGGGAGCACGGCGACACCCCUAAUUCGACUCGACUGCUGCGUCUUGCAUCGCCACGCUGCACCUUCUCCGUUCGCAGGUGCGUCUUCAUCAGGUCUUCUGUCACCAUGGAUCAGCAGCGGUGUCGCCAAGAGAUUUGUGAGGGGAAGCGGCCUGUUCUAGCCUCUGGAAUUAACCACUCAGGUGAAGCACCCAGUUGGAUAACCAAAAAAAGUUCACGCAUCAGAUCGGAGCCGAGGAGUCGGACUACCACGACGACACCUUUAUAUUUUAUUGUGUGGCCUCCGGCAAUGUCCCAAAGAUGGAGGCGGCGAUGUGCCAGCUCAGGAGGUCCAGUCUUCUCAUCUCUGUCGACCAGGUUGCAGCCAAGCUGUCCUAGAGGAAGGAAUGCUCCUAAGCUGAUUGCUUCUUUAAUUCCUCAUCAUAUGUGGUUUUGGUUUGCAGAAUAAGUGACCCCUGGUGUUAUUAUACUCAUCACCCCUCCACCGAUCCAUGAACCUGCGAGGAUUAUGUCCCAAAUAACCACCCUUACCUUGCAGAUAUCUGCUUUACUUAGCUUUAUUAUUCAUGGGGAGAGAGGAGGACAAAAGAAUGACAACCUUUGAGGAGGAGGUGAUGUGUGCGAUGUGCAGUACUUUUGUUAUUUUCAAGCAGAAAAAUGAAGAUUCAUGUCGGAGUCAGAGCCUGAGAGGUGCAUCCUGAGUUCAUCAUUCUCUCUUUAUUUUAUGUUGCUCCUGCCCGGCUCCUCGAGCAAUCAACACCAUAUCAUGAUAUCCCUGCUCCAUUCUCCGGCCUAACGGAUUCAAUCGCAUGACCAUCUGGAUCGCAUUUGAUCCGUAAAAUCACAUCAAAGAAGAAUAGACUGCCUCUUUGACGACAUGGUGAGCCUCAGUGCUCCCUCCUCCGCCAUGACUCUACUCUUGCCUCUCUGCUAAAGAGUUGUGGAGGUUCUUCUUCGUCCUUGACGGCACAACUCUCCUCCUCGACGUCAUGGUAUUGGCUCUUUUCUGCCAUGGCACUCCGUUGGCACGGAACAACACGAGGCAGUGGCGCCAAAAUAAUCGCUUGCGCCCGCGCUCAAGUCCCACUCCGCUGGAAAAGGCGUUUGCAUGUAACUACCAAGUAUUGCUCUGUUUUGGUAUUUGAUUGAUCAGUGUCCCUGGAUUUGCCAUUUAUGGUGGAUGUGAAAGGGUAAGUUACUCAGUGACUUGAUAGAGCCAAGUCACUGGAUCUAUACUCUAAUUGCGGCAAUAAUUCUAAAUAUCAAUCAGUAGACUGUAUGUGGCGGGGUAUUCUUUGAAAUAGUGGCAAUGCUUCUUUUCUUUUCCCCUUAAUUCAUAUGUGUAAAGUCAAUGGUUCAGUCUUUUGGGGUUUCUAUCUUCUUGCACCUAAUAGUCUCAUGUCAAAAGAAAGAAUAUGGC